RNAcentral lists this unclassified non-coding RNA (361 nucleotides) under uncultured fungus. Its description in RNAcentral is "sequence contains 5.8S rRNA gene". The stretch from base 1 to 53 matches the Rfam family "5.8S ribosomal RNA", at positions 102 to 154 of the family's 154-position model. Lineage: Eukaryota; Fungi. The record is from RNAcentral.
GAACGCACAUUGCGCUCCCUGGUAUUCCGGGGAGCACGCCUGUUUGAGCAUCAGUAAACUCCAUCGACGUCACUUUCGGGUCGCAAGGCUCGAGGUUGACCGUCGGAUGUGAGACGUCUGCCUCCCAGCACGGGGCAGUGUCUCGAAAAUCAAUGUCACGAAAUCGUAGGACGCAGUCUCAGGUUUCAAGCGCAUGAAAGAGUGUUUCUGCACCCUAAAAUACGUUUGGAUUCGCCUUUGUAUUGUUUGAACUCGAGCUUGAGUGACCCAACCUUUUACAUCAGCGCACAGGGGGACGGUAGUCCCUCGCCGCACUGAACACUUGGUCUCAAAUCAGGUGGGAAAACCCGCUGAACUUAAG